AUUGAACGCUGGCGGCAUGCCUUACACAUGCAAGUCGAACGGCAGCACGGGAGCAAUCCUGGUGGCGAGUGGCGAACGGGUGAGUAAUAUAUCGGAACGUGCCCAGUCGUGGGGAUAACGUAGCGAAAGCUACGCUAAUACCGCAUACGAUCUAUGGAUGAAAGCGGGGGAUCGCAAGACCUCGCGCGAUUGGAGCGGCCGAUAUCAGAUUAGGUAGUUGGUGAGGUAAAGGCUCACCAAGCCGACGAUCUGUAGCUGGUCUGAGAGGACGACCAGCCACACUGGGACUGAGACACGGCCCAGACUCCUACCGGGAGGCAGCAGUGGGGGAAUUUUUGGGACAAUGGGCGCAAGCCUGAUCCAGCAAUGCCGCGUGCAGGAUGAAGGCCUU
This 391-nucleotide ribosomal RNA is filed under the name uncultured bacterium. Its description in RNAcentral is "bacterial SSU rRNA". It matches the Rfam family "Bacterial small subunit ribosomal RNA", at positions 30 to 418 of the family's 1533-position model. The record is from RNAcentral.